UGAAGGUAAAAAAAUAAGGGGAAAAAAGUACUAAAGCGCAAUAAACCCAGCCUAUCCAUGGCUUCCUUUCUCCAUCUUCGUUGUCAUUCUUUUUGGAAAAUUAAAAAGAAAUAAUAGAAAGAGAAGCCAUUGAUGACGUUUGUUAAAGCUUCAAGCAGCAAUGGACCGACACCAUAACGAACCCAAUCACGAGGAUGAACCUAACAACUCUAAAUUCACUCGACCUCUAUCUGGAGAUGGAGCUAGCACUGGAAAGAUUUUCAUUGGAGGUUUAGCAAGAGAGAGACUACUACUGGCAGCACAGUUCAUCAAGCAUUUGGUGAAUAUGGUGAAAUUACAGAUUCUGUGAUAAUGAAGGACCGGAAAACAGGGCAGCCUCGUGGAUUUGGCUUUGUGACCUAUUCAGAUCCAUCUGCUGUUGAUCAAGUCAUUCAAGAUACUUAUACUAUCAAUGGAAAACAAGAAGGAUUUUGCUGUUGGAUUUAAAGACCGACAUCAUCCUUUUCUCUUCUUCUCCCCCCCCCCCCCCCCCUCCAAAAAAAAAUCCUUUAAAUUUAACUUGAUAACUUGGUUGGAUUUGUUGAUCUUUGUUGUGGUUUUCGGAUUCUUUAGGUUGAAAUCAAGCGAACAAUACCAAAGGGAGCUGUUGGGUCUAAGGAUUUUAAACCAAGAAGAUAUUUGUAGGUGGAACACCUGCGGUGGUGACUGAAGAUGAUUUCAAGGAAUUCUUUACACAAUCCGGAGAGGUUACAGAACAUCAGAUCAUGCGGGACCACUCCACCAAUCGUUCUCGUGGGUUCGGAUUUAUCACAUUUGAUACGGGACAGGCAUUUGAUGAUCUUUUGGCCAAGGGAUUUAAACUUGAGCUGGCUGGAAUUCAGGUUAGCAGCUGAUACCAGCUGAUAUCAACAUUGAUUUAUCGUUUCCUUUUCAUAGAUUUUUAAACACAAUAUCCAUCUCUACGCAUACUUGAACCCCCCCAUAAUUACUCGAGGACAUGGUAUAGUAAGUAGUUCAUGAUGUGUUAGUGAUGCUCCUAUUCUGUGUAUUUGUCCCAUCAACAUUAACAGCAAACUUUGAAGAAUGUCUAUACAUGAUACAUGAUGGUUAAUCUAAUCAUUACCUGUUAUUUUUCUCAAGAAUCGUAAGUGGUAGUUACAGAGAAUUUUAACCAAAUUUUCUGUUCAACCAAAACAAUAUAAAAGCCCUAUUUGAAGGAAAGAGUCAGUGGAGGUCCUGUACUCGUACAUUGUCAUUUACAAUUGGCCACUCACAUUAAAUUUUAAAUAUAUUUAAGAAAGGGUUGUGCUAGAGAUGUUGGCACUAACAUUUGACCAUUGGCAAAUUUCUAGUCACAUGUCAUUGAU
Molecule: long non-coding RNA, 1367 nt
Organism: Populus euphratica (Euphrates poplar)
Lineage: Eukaryota; Viridiplantae; Streptophyta; Magnoliopsida; Malpighiales; Salicaceae
Exons: 4
Source: RefSeq, a predicted model, not a curated record